GGUUAAGCGACUAAGCGUACACGGUGGAUGCCCUGGCAGUCAGAGGCGAUGAAGGACGUGCUAAUCUGCGAAAAGCGUCGGUAAGGUGAUAUGAACCGUUAUAACCGGCGAUGUCCGAAUGGGGAAACCCAGUGUGUUUCGACACACUAUCAUUAACUGAAUCCAUAGGUUAAUGAGGCGAACCGGGGGAACUGAAACAUCUAAGUACCCCGAGGAAAAGAAAUCAACCGAGAUUCCCCCAGUAGCGGCGAGCGAACGGGGAGGAGCCCAGAGCCUGAAUCAGUGUGUGUGUUAGUGGAAGCGUCUGGAAAGGCGCGCGAUACAGGGUGACAGCCCCGUACACAAAAAUGCACAUGCUGUGAGCUCGAUGAGUAGGGCGGGACACGUGGUAUCCUGUCUGAAUAUGGGGGGACCAUCCUCCAAGGCUAAAUACUCCUGACUGACCGAUAGUGAACCAGUACCGUGAGGGAAAGGCGAAAAGAACCCCGGCGAGGGGAGUGAAAAAGAACCUGAAACCGUGUACGUACAAGCAGUGGGAGCCCUGAUUUAUCAGGGUGACUGCGUACCUUUUGUAUAAUGGGUCAGCGACUUAUAUUCUGUAGCAAGGUUAACCGAAUAGGGGAGCCGGAGGGAAACCGAGUCUUAACUGGGCGUUAAGUUGCAGGGUAUAGACCCGAAACCCGGUGAUCUAGCCAUGGGCAGGUUGAAGGUUGGGUAACACUAACUGGAGGACCGAACCGACUAAUGUUGAAAAAUUAGCGGAUGACUUGUGGCUGGGGGUGAAAGGCCAAUCAAACCGGGAGAUAGCUGGUUCUCCCCGAAAGCUAUUUAGGUAGCGCCUCGUGAAUUCAUCUCCGGGGGUAGAGCACUGUUUCGGCAAGGGGGUCAUCCCGACUUACCAACCCGAUGCAAACUGCGAAUACCGGAGAAUGUUAUCACGGGAGACACACGGCGGGUGCUAACGUCCGUCGUGAAGAGGGAAACAACCCAGACCGCCAGCUAAGGUCCCAAAGUCAUGGUUAAGUGGGAAACGAUGUGGGAAGGCCCAGACAGCCAGGAUGUUGGCUUAGAAGCAGCCAUCAUUUAAAGAAAGCGUAAUAGCUCACUGGUCGAGUCGGCCUGCGCGGAAGAUGUAACGGGGCUAAACCAUGCACCGAAGCUGCGGCAGCGACGCUGAUGCGUUGUUGGGUAGGGGAGCGUUCUGUAAGCCUGUGAAGGUGUGCUGUGAGGCAUGCUGGAGGUAUCAGAAGUGCGAAUGCUGACAUAAGUAACGAUAAAGCGGGUGAAAAGCCCGCUCGCCGGAAGACCAAGGGUUCCUGUCCAACGUUAAUCGGGGCAGGGUGAGUCGACCCCUAAGGCGAGGCCGAAAGGCGUAGUCGAUGGGAAACAGGUUAAUAUUCCUGUACUUGGUGUUACUGCGAAGGGGGGACGGAGAAGGCUAUGUUGGCCGGGCGACGGUUGUCCCGGUUUAAGCGUGUAGGCUGGUUUUCCAGGCAAAUCCGGAGAAUCAAGGCUGAGGCGUGAUGACGAGGCACUACGGUGCUGAAGCAACAAAUGCCCUGCUUCCAGGAAAAGCCUCUAAGCAUCAGGUAACAUCAAAUCGUACCCCAAACCGACACAGGUGGUCAGGUAGAGAAUACCAAGGCGCUUGAGAGAACUCGGGUGAAGGAACUAGGCAAAAUGGUGCCGUAACUUCGGGAGAAGGCACGCUGAUAUGUAGGUGAAGCGACUUGCUCGUGGAGCUGAAAUCAGUCGAAGAUACCAGCUGGCUGCAACUGUUUAUUAAAAACACAGCACUGUGCAAACACGAAAGUGGACGUAUACGGUGUGACGCCUGCCCGGUGCCGGAAGGUUAAUUGAUGGGGUCAGCGCAAGCGAAGCUCUUGAUCGAAGCCCCGGUAAACGGCGGCCGUAACUAUAACGGUCCUAAGGUAGCGAAAUUCCUUGUCGGGUAAGUUCCGACCUGCACGAAUGGCGUAAUGAUGGCCAGGCUGUCUCCACCCGAGACUCAGUGAAAUUGAACUCGCUGUGAAGAUGCAGUGUACCCGCGGCAAGACGGAAAGACCCCGUGAACCUUUACUAUAGCUUGACACUGAACACUGGUCCUUGAUGUGUAGGAUAGGUGGGAGGCUUUGAAGUGUGGACGCCAGUCUGCAUGGAGCCGUCCUUGAAAUACCACCCUUUAAUGGCUGGUGUUCUAACGUUGGCCCCUUAUCGGGGUUGCGGACAGUGUCUGGUGGGUAGUUUGACUGGGGCGGUCUCCUCCUAAAGAGUAACGGAGGAGCACGAAGGUUGGCUAAUCCUGGUCGGACAUCAGGAGGUUAGUGCAAUGGCAUAAGCCAGCUUGACUGCGAGCGUGACGGCGCGAGCAGGUGCGAAAGCAGGUCAUAGUGAUCCGGUGGUUCUGAAUGGAAGGGCCAUCGCUCAACGGAUAAAAGGUACUCCGGGGAUAACAGGCUGAUACCGCCCAAGAGUUCAUAUCGACGGCGGUGUUUGGCACCUCGAUGUCGGCUCAUCACAUCCUGGGGCUGAAGUAGGUCCCAAGGGUAUGGCUGUUCGCCAUUUAAAGUGGUACGCGAGCUGGGUUUAGAACGUCGUGAGACAGUUCGGUCCCUAUCUGCCGUGGGCGCUGGAGAACUGAGGGGGGCUGCUCCUAGUACGAGAGGACCGGAGUGGACGCAUCACUGGUGUUCGGGUUGUCAUGCCAAUGGCACUGCCCGGUAGCUAAAUGCGGAAGAGAUAAGUGCUGAAAGCAUCUAAGCACGAAACUUGCCCCGAGAUGAGUUCUCCCUGAGACUUUAAGUCUCCUGAAGGAACGUUGAAGACGACGACGUUGAUAGGCCGGGUGUGUAAGCGCAGCGAUGCGUUGAGCUAACCGGUACUAAUGAACCGUGAGGCUUAACCUU
This 2906-nucleotide ribosomal RNA is filed under the name Escherichia albertii. RNAcentral's name for it is "23S ribosomal RNA". It matches the Rfam family "Bacterial large subunit ribosomal RNA". Lineage: Bacteria; Pseudomonadati; Pseudomonadota; Gammaproteobacteria; Enterobacterales; Enterobacteriaceae. The record is from RNAcentral.